RNAcentral lists this long non-coding RNA (1970 nucleotides) under Podarcis lilfordi (Lilford's wall lizard). The record is from RNAcentral. Lineage: Eukaryota; Metazoa; Chordata; Lepidosauria; Squamata; Lacertidae.
CUAGUCCAACCCGCCGGAACGCAAAAAUCUUUUGCCCAACGUGGGGCUCAUGCUUUACUGACUGAGCUCUCCUUCAGCUGCGACGCGUGAAAUGGGUCGCCUUGCGCCGAACCCAUCAGUGCCGAAGCUUCCUCGGCGGCGCCUCGGAGCGCACGGGUCGGAAGUGGGGCAAGGCGCCGGGCUUCCCGCAACUAGAUCCACGCCCCAAGCAGGACAACCCUAGGCAAUCGCAAGAAAGUCCCUGGGGCUUACUCCAGAGUAAGUGAGUACAGGCGUGCAGCCCAAGUGCCACUUGCUUGGGUGACAGUUGCAUGGGAUGGAUCGCAACCUCUGCAGGCGCGUGUUGGCUCCGGACCAGGAGGAAGCCUCGCUGGAUGCAGGGGCGCUUACUCCGCAAUGUCCAGGGGAGCAGCUUUCAAGAGAUUUCCUCCGACGGCUGAGAGACGCCUGUCCCAAGGGCUCUGCUGUCCUCUGUCUCGAGCAGCGCUCAUGCAAACAGCUAAUAGCCGGGUGUGCAAGCGCAGCAAGGCUGCCGAGUUGGCUCCUGGUGAACGCGCAGCAAAGCAGAAAGAAAGACUUGGUCCCAUCCUGGAGCCCCAGUGGUGGCACCUGAAAUGCAUAGGUGGGGGUGUUUGUUUGGGAACUCGGCAGCUUACAGAUAAAAAUAAGAACAGCUAAAAACAUUGAAAAUAACAGUCAUAAAAAAUAAACACUGAUAGAGUUAUCAUUGUGUAUAAACUUACAGGCUUAAGCAGUAUGUGGACUGAGAACUCCCAGAAGUGCAAGCUGGAUUUCAAAGGGGCAGAGGAACCAGAGACCAAAUUGCAAACAUGUGCUGGAUUAUGGAGAAAGCUAGAGAGUUCCAGAAAGACAUCUACUUCUGCUUCAUUGACUAUGCAAAAGCCUUUGACUGUGUUGACCACAGCAAACUAUGGCAAGUUCUUAAAGAAAUGGGAGUGCCUGAUCACCUCAUCUGUCUCCUGAGAAAUUUCUACGUGGGACAAGAAGCUACACUUAGAACUGGAUAUGGAACAACUGAUUGGUUCAAAAUUGGGAAAGGAGUACGCAAGGCUGUAUAUUGUCUCCCUGCUUAUUUAACUUAUAUGCAGAAUUCAUCAUGCGAAAGGCUGGGCUGGAUGAAUCCCAAGCUGGAAUUAAGAUCGCCGGAAGAAAUAUCAACAACCUCAGAUAUGCAGAUGACACAACCUUGAUGGCAGAAAGUGAGGAGGAAUUAAAGAACCUUUUAAUGAGGGUGAAAGAGGAGAGCGCAAAAUAUGGUCUGAAGCUCAACAUCAAAAAAACGAAGAUCAUGGCCACUGGGCCCAUCACCUCCUGGGAAAUAGAAGGGGAAGAAAUGGAGGCGGUGAGAGAUUUUACUUUCUUGGGUUCCAUGAUCACUGCAGAUGGUGACAGCAGUCACGAAAUUAAAAGAUGCCUGCUCCUUGGGAGAAAAGCAAUGACAAACCUAGACAGCAUCUUAAAAAGUAGAGACAUCACCUUGCCAACAAAGGUCCGUAUAGUAAAAGCCAUGGUUUUCCCAGUAGUGAUGUAUGGAAGUGAGAGCUGGACCAUAAAGAAGGCUGAUCGCCUAAGAAUUGAUGCUUUUGAACUGUGGUGCUGGAGGAGACUCUUGAGAGUCCCAUGGACUGCAAGAAGAUCGAAUGUAUCCAUUCUUAAGGAAAUCAGCCUCGAGUGCUCACUGGAAGGACAGAUCGUGAAGCUGAGGCUCCAAUACUUUGGCCACCUCAUGAGAAGAGAAGACUCCCUGGAAAAGACCCUGAUGUUGGGAAAGAUUGAGGGCACAAGAAGAAGGGGACGACAGAGGACGAGAUGGUUGGACACUGUUCUCGAAGCUACAAACAUGAGUCUGACCAAACUGCGGGAGGCAGUGGAAGACAGGAGUGCCUGGCGUGCUCUGGUCCAUGGGGUCACGAAGAGUCGGACACGACUAAACGACUAAACAACAACAA